Molecule: long non-coding RNA, 2540 nt
Organism: Neofelis nebulosa (Clouded leopard)
Lineage: Eukaryota; Metazoa; Chordata; Mammalia; Carnivora; Felidae
Exons: 4
Source: RefSeq, a predicted model, not a curated record
GGCAGGAGACCCUUUUUGAAUUAGCUCGGUUUUCUUGUUCAAAGGCACACUCUCCAGACGGCAUUUGCAGAAGUCUGUCUGUAACAGUCUGUGUCUUCUUAUGCCUGGGACUUAUUUGGGGAGUGAGAAUCUUUCCAGGAUGGAUUCUGCUGGCCAUUUUGGGCCACUUCUGAAAAUGCUGUGGGGACACGUAUUCUCAGAUAUGUUCCACCUGGGGCGACACGUGGAUGCUUCACAAGGAGCACAACCAAACAAAACAUCACGGUGGCCUCACGCUCAGACAACACGCCAGUGGCGGCCGGACGUCGUGUGUACCUGAGGGUGAAGUACAUGCUGGUGGGGACGUAGGAUGGGGGAAGAUGAACUCUGAGCGUUUGUAGGCUGUCGCACGCGCGUUAUCUCAUUCAGUCUUCCCAAAGACCAUUGUGCGGUGAAAUAUUUCAGACUCCUAUUUUACCCAUAAGGAGACAGAAUCAGGGAGGUGAAGCCAUGUGUCCGUAUCAUAGCUAGUAUGUGCUAUAGCUGGAUGGGGUUUGUGCCCAGCUCCCAGCUCUGGUCACAGCUUCUCUGUGCUCCUUCCCUCCCUGUGGUUAGUGGUACAGGCGGUGGCCUGGAGGAUGUCCCAGGGUCUCAGCCGGAUUUAGGGUGGUUCGUUGGGUCCCCUCAGAUUCAGAUGCUUCUGCCGUAAGAACAUCCAGAUGGCACCCUUUAACCCAGAACUCUUGGAAGCAAAGUUCCAGAACAGAACCUGAGAACAACAGAAGGAGAACCAGAACAACAACCUGAGUUACCACGAUGCAGGUUUCCUCGACAGCUACAUGAGAGAGUACAGAGAAUCGGGCUUUGGUCGCAGAGGACGUAGGUUGGAAUCUAAUGGCAUGAUCUCGGCCAAGCUACACAACCUCUGUAUUCAGUUCUCCUCUGGCUUAUAAUCGUUUGUACCUCAGAGAAGUGUGCGUGAAGGAGAUAGCAGAGCGUAUUCGAACAAGAAGAACAAAAUGCACGAUUAAUUCCAAAGUCUGUACAAAAAGACUCUAUCCAGCGGGGCUUCCUAUUUACUUAUUUUAAUUUCUGAGAAGUAAAGAUCCAACGUUCACAACGCAUGAAGCCCACGUAUCUACACAGAGUAACUGAGCCGUGCGGUACCAAGAGACAGCAGGUGGAGACGAAACUUGCCAUGUAGCUCAUUGUACUAAGCUGCGGAGGAACCCUGCACGCACAACACGCACCUCAUCGGCUCCUGGGCCCCAGGUCACCUGCGCGCACCGUCCCGGGAGUGUGUACCACGCUCUUCCCCUGCGUGUGCAUGUUUUGGUGAUCAGAUUAUUUAAUACAAUGAUCUGGUUAUAAAAGUUCAAGUAGUGAGCAUAAAGGGAGGGUCUUAGGUAUCGAGGGGAAACUGAAAAUAACAAAAUGCUUUAAAAGAUACGAGAAGGGGAGAGGAGGUAGGAGGGCCAAAGGAGUCCUCGUUAGAGACAGUGCUGGAGGGAGAAAGAGAGAGAAAGGAAAGCUGAGGCCAUCGUGGUGGGUGUGCUGGCUGGUUGUGUGGUUGUUAAACUAUUGCUCUCAGCUCCAGACCCACCCUUUGUGCUUUGCUUGUAGAGCAAACUACGUUUUCACUUUGCCCUUUGGUGACUGCUCCUCAUUAGGCCCACACCAAUCGAAGGUGCUAGAGAAAGAUUUAAAGUCGGAAGAACGGCAGUUGGUUCCAGUCUCCGGUCAUGUUGCUGUCCUGGCACCUGGCCCGUUUUACCAGUUCAGAGGUACCAGUUCCUCCUGAUCAGAGAGCUGAGUUCCAGCUCUGGGGAGGAGGGGGCCCCUUCUCUAAGUUCCCGAGGCAUCACCACCAGCCAGGCAUCCCUCCUUCCUCUAGGACGGACAACCAUCUGGUCUCCCUGGGACUCUCUUGGUUUUAGCAUGAAAAAUCGGUGUCCCAGAGCAACUGGGAUGGUUGGUCACCCUACUUCUCCUCGGAGGUCUGGUCCCACCAAGUGACGCUCCCACUUCAUUUCUUUUUCCAUCUCAGAAGAUGCUUCCAGAAGUUGCCUGAGACUUCCCCCUUUGGCUUUUUAGUCAUCCAUCACCUGCUUCACCAAUCCCUUGUAUUAAAUUCUCACUCUUAAAAUAACUUGUGUGGUAGUUAUCAGCUACUUUAAAGGUGUUUUAGAAGCACCUUCAGGGGACCGAAGAUCAUGGCUUAAUGCCAAACCACAAAUACAAAUACAACAAACUAGCGCUUUGUGUCACAAAAAGAGGGAAUGGGCCCAAACCCAAAAGCUGGAUUUCUAAUUUAAGUCAGCGUAGAAGUAAGAAGUACGGAACGUCGAGCCAUGGCUAUCCACCGUGGGUGUCGCAACAUUUCGUCUUAAAAAUUAGGAUGGCCUUCUUCCAGCCCUUCCUCGUAAUUCAGAAGCCAGACUAGCUCACCUACCUCCUUCCACUAAACGAAAUUUAUGCAAUUUGUCAAGGAAAUGUGUCAAAUAAUGCGUUAUUUUAAAACAUGUAUUAAGAAUCCAAGAUGUUUACAACUCUGGUAGCAU